Molecule: ribosomal RNA, 468 nt
Filed under: uncultured bacterium
Lineage: Bacteria
Description: partial 16S ribosomal RNA
Rfam family: Bacterial small subunit ribosomal RNA
Source: RNAcentral
GACGAACGCUGGCGGCGUGCUUAACACAUGCAAGUCGAACGGAAAGGCCCUGCUUUUGUGGGGUGCUCGAGUGGCGAACGGGUGAGUAACACGUGUGUAACCUGCCCUUGACUUUGGGAUAACUCCAGGAAACUGGGGCUAAUACCGGGUAUGAUCUCCUGCUGCAUGUGGGUGGUUGGAAAGAUUCGGCGGUUGUGGAUGGACUCGAGGCUUCUCAGCUUGUUGGUCGAGUAGUGGCUUACGAGGCCUUUGACGGGUAGCCGGCCUUAGAGGGUGAACGGCGACAUGGGGACUACGAGAGGGACCAGACUCCUACGGGAGGCAGCAGGGGGAAACAUGGCAGAAUGGGGGGAAGCCUGAUGCAGCAACGCCGCGUGCGGGAUGACGGCCUUCGGGGUGUAAACCGCUUUCGCCUGUGACGAAGCGUGAGUGACGGUAAUGGGUAAAGAAGCACCGGCUAACUACGUG